RNAcentral lists this transfer RNA (75 nucleotides) under Candidatus Kaiserbacteria bacterium RIFCSPHIGHO2_01_FULL_46_22. RNAcentral describes it as "tRNA-Asn". It matches the Rfam family "tRNA". From Rfam's summary of the family: Transfer RNA (tRNA) molecules are approximately 80 nucleotides in length. Their secondary structure includes four short double-helical elements and three loops (D, anti-codon, and T loops). Further hydrogen bonds mediate the characteristic L-shaped molecular structure. tRNAs have two regions of fundamental functional importance: the anti-codon, which is responsible for specific mRNA codon recognition, and the 3' end, to which the tRNAs corresponding amino acid is attached (by aminoacyl-tRNA synthetases). tRNAs cope with the degeneracy of the genetic code in two manners: having more than one tRNA (with a specific anti-codon) for a particular amino acid; and 'wobble' base-pairing, i.e. permitting non-standard base-pairing at the 3rd anti-codon position. Lineage: Bacteria; Candidatus Kaiseribacteriota. The record is from RNAcentral.
UCCGCGGUAGCUCAGCGGUAGAGCGGUCGACUGUUAAUCGAUUGGUCGCAGGUUCGAAUCCUGCCCGCGGAGCAA